UCUUCGUCAUCUAGUAGAAGUAGAAGUCGUAACAAGGUUUCCGUAGGUGAACCUGCGGAAGGAUCAUUACCGGGAAGGGGCUCUGCGCUCCCGGGGGGCUUCCGGCCCCCCACUCCUCACCCCUGUGUACCUACCUCUGUUGCUUUGACGGAUCCCGAGGGCGCCCUCGGCGCCGGCUUUCGGGCCCGCGAGCGUCCGUCAGAGGCCCAUUUAAUUCUGUUCAUUAGUGGUGUCCGAGUCAGUAUAAUAGCAAAAACUUUCAACAACGGAUCUCUUGGUUCCAGCAUCGAUGAAGAACGCAGCGAAAUGCGAUAACUAAUGUGAAUUGCAGAAUUCAGUGAAUCAUCGAGUCUUUGAACGCACAUUGCGCCCUUCGGUAUUCCGGGGGGCAUGCCUGUUCGAGCGUCAUUACACCCCUCAAGCCUCGCUUGGUAUUGGGUUUUCGCCCCCUGGGCGUGCCCGAAAUUCAGUGGCGGUCCGGGACGAUCUUCAAGCGUAGUAACCUUCCAUUUCGCUUCUAAAGGUUCCCCGUGACUUGCCGGACGACCCCAGAUCCUCAAAGAUUGACCUCGGAUCAGGUAGGGAUACCCGCUGAACUUAAGCAUAUCAAUA
RNAcentral lists this ribosomal RNA (612 nucleotides) under Anzia pseudocolpota. RNAcentral describes it as "eukaryotic LSU rRNA". The stretch from base 255 to 408 matches the Rfam family "5.8S ribosomal RNA". Lineage: Eukaryota; Fungi; Ascomycota; Lecanoromycetes; Lecanorales; Parmeliaceae. The record is from RNAcentral.